ACUUCCUAAAAUUAUAUAUUGGGUAAAUCUAUAAUCUUAUAGAUGAUAUACUGUUAAUAUGAGUAACAAGAAUACAAAUUCUCCAAGCAUAAGUGUAUAACAACCCGGAUAUCCAUUGUUAGUUAUCAGGAUAUAGGUGAUAUCUAUUACAUAAGAACACCUAAAACUUUAUCUGUUAGCCCAACACAGGAAUGCUUUAAGGAAAGAUUAAAAAAAAUAAAAGGAACUCGGCAAACAAGAACCUCGCCUGUUUACCAAAAACAUCACCUCUAGCAUAUCAAGUAUUAGAGGCAUUGCCUGCCCAGUGACUUAAGUUAAACGGCCGCGGUAUCCUGACCGUGCAAAGGUAGCAUAAUCACUUGUUCCUUAAUUAGGGACUAGCAUGAAUGGCUAAACGAAGGUUCGACUGUCUCUUAUUUUUAAUCAGUGAAAUUGACCUUUCAGUGAAGAGGCUGAAAUUUUAUAAUAAGACGAGAAGACCCUAUGGAGCUUAAAUUAAAUAAUUUAACUGUAAUUAUUAAUAAAUCUAAGGACCUAAAAACUACAGCAUAAAUUAAAAAUUUCGGUUGGGGUGACCUCGGAGAAUAAAAAAUCCUCCGAAUGAUUGUAACCUAGACUUACAAGUUAAAGUAAUACUUAUGUCUUAUUGACCCAAAAAAUAUUUUGAUCAACGGACCAAGUUACCCUAGGGAUAACAGCGCAAUCCUAUUUAAGAGUUCAUAUCGACAAUUAGGGUUUACGACCUCGAUGUUGGAUCAGGACAUCCCAAUGGUGCAGAAGCUAUUAAUGGUUCGUUUGUUCAACGAUUAAAGUCCUACGUGAUCUGAGUUCAGACCGGAGCAAUCCAGGUCGGUUUCUAUCUAUUAACAAUUUCUCCCAGUACGAAAGGACAAGAGAAAUAGAGCCUCCUUACAAAUAAGUGCUCUUAACCUAAUUUAUGAAUAAAAUCUAAAUAAAAUUUAUUUGUUCAACUUACUUACCUAGAUAAGGUU
RNAcentral lists this ribosomal RNA (992 nucleotides) under Mus minutoides (Southern African pygmy mouse). RNAcentral's name for it is "partial 16S ribosomal RNA". The stretch from base 1 to 884 matches the Rfam family "Bacterial large subunit ribosomal RNA", at positions 1545 to 2925 of the family's 2925-position model. The record is from RNAcentral. Lineage: Eukaryota; Metazoa; Chordata; Mammalia; Rodentia; Muridae.